This is a long non-coding RNA of Felis catus (domestic cat), 3518 nucleotides long. RefSeq lists it as uncharacterized. NCBI's taxonomy places the organism in Eukaryota, Metazoa, Chordata, Mammalia, Carnivora, Felidae. The record is from RefSeq and is a predicted model, not a curated record. The transcript has 2 exons.
CGUUCAUGCUCUGUCUCUUUCUGUCCCAAAAAUAAAUAAAAACGUUGAAAAAAAAAUUAAAAAAAAAAAAAGGAGCUGGAAGGGUAGCACCCCAAAACAUGAUGGCCUCAGGCAGGGGUGGGGAUCCUUGAGAUUCCUCAGACCAAACCACACUGGCCUAGCUUCGGUGAGUUUCUUCUUUUGGAUCACAAAACGGUCAGGGACCUGGCCCGACAGUGCCCCAUGGGAUAAUGCCACUCCGGGCCAUCACAGAGGUAGCGUGGAAUACCUCAGGACGCCUGUCUGAACGACUGGGUCUGCUCAGAGAGAGGGAGCUGGAGACCGAGGACGGUGUCGUGUGAGUGGGAAUGAGAAGGGAAAGGGGUGAGCAAGUACUUAGCAAGGGCUCACCUGCCAUCGGGCUGUCAAUUAGCAGCUUCCCAUGCUCCCGGCCAGCUGUCCAAGCUCCUACGGGGCAGGGACGCGAAGGUCCUGUCUGACAUCUGGCCCCCCACCCCUUCCCCGAUUCCCCCCUCCCCGGGACCCCACCCACCCCUGCACUUGCAUAGCCUGAAUCCGUCUCUUGGUCUGACACUGCAUAGCAUCCUGUCUCCCACUCUGGACCUCUCUUCUUCCAGAAGCCUCCCCCGCCGCCCUCAAUUCGUCUUUGAGGACCGGAGUGGGGGGGGGGGCAGGACUCAGCCCUUUCUUUCUGCCCAUCCCAAAGCCUGUUGGAUUCUUGUUCAGACUUUUCCUUCUCAUCUCCUUCUUGGGCAUCUGCGUGGCUCAGGGUAGAACUCCUGCUGCCCCUGCAGAAGGCCCUUCCAGAAAAGCCCGUUAGGGGAAAUACAGAAAAACACUUAACAGUAGGGGACUGGGCAACGGGAUUGUAAGUGUGGGUUCUACAUUUUACAUUUCUCCCCCUACCCUUUGGCUAGUUUCUCAACUUUAAGAAAUGUGUAUUGGAAAAAUUGACAAGACUCCAAGAAAGUCACUAUUCUCAACACGUUUAGCCCCCCUCUUGAGAUCUGACAGUGAUGCUCUGAUGCCCACUUAACACACAGUUCUUGAGAACUGUGUGACCACUGGGCACCCAGUAGGGCCACACAGCAGGUCCGCCUGAUGCUUGGCGGGGGCGACGCUGUCGGGGUGUGAGUUGGGGGGGGGAGCUGGUGGAGGACUCCCCCGUGGGAAGAAAAGCUCUCUACCCGCUAGCUGGGGUGAUGCCGGGACCUGUCACCGGGCCCAGCCAGGCUGGGCCAUAGCUGCCUGUGAAAACAGCUGUGGAACUAUUGGAAAUACUCGGCAGGGCUGACUUCCCCCAAGGGACGAUGCUGCUUCGCGGAGGGGGCACGAAAGCCGGCAACCUCCGUCAUUACGGACACAAGCCCGUGUUAACUCGCAGACACAGGGCACACAGGCCACUGGGCUGCGUCUUAGUGGGCGGUCUGCACACCUGCCUUCCCCAGAGUACCUCUUUGGGGUUGGGGACGUGGCGGAUCCUGCCCUGUCUCCCCACUGCGCCUUGUUCCUGGCCCGGCCCUCGCAGGGUUCAUUACAGCUGUGUAGUCAGGAAGGUAGGGAAGAAGACAGCCUUUCCAAAGGUCAAGUGCCAAUGGAGGGACUGGGAACGAGGAGCGCCAGGGCCUUUGAGCCAUUAGCGAGGGAGGGUAGAAUCCAAAAUGGCAGCCGAGGGCACAAAGGACGAGCCAUGGGGCCACCAUUAGGGAUCAUGUGGACUCGGGGCUGGGAAGCUGCUUGCUGGACAAAAGGAGAAAACCUGUGCUUCCCAGGAGGAGGCAGCCCCCCAUCUAGGAAGACCUUGCCUAGGUCAGGAUUCAAACUCAGGUCCCUCUGUGUGCAAAGCCUGCAGGUCUCAUCCUUCCUAUGUCCGUUUCCAGCUCGCACAAGUUAGCUCCCGAUCCCCAUCCGCUUUGCCUUGGCCUUGGGGAUUUCUCCAGUGGCCGCCCCCUGUCACCUCCCCUUUCCCUGCCUGGUCCAUAUCUUCAUCGCUUCCUAGUAUUCCCAGUUGCCCACUCUUCGACCCUGCAGGGGACGCGAGACCCUUCUCCUCCUGUGCCCAUUAAUAAAACCCCACCGUGCAGCCUCAACUCCUGGACAGUUUGCCCUGGAGUCUGGAACAGAUUUUCCUGCAAGGAAAUCUCACAGCCAGUGGGGGGCGAGGGGGGAAGUGCUCUGAACUUUGAGUGUGUGUUCUCUCAAAUGUUUCCCAUUUUGAGAGUACAGAAAAGAGCAAAAUAGGUUGAGGAGCCAACAUUUGUGCUACCAAAACAUGUCAUAUCAACAACGGCAACCUCUUCCCCAGAGAAAAUUAGGCUGUAUGUCAUGUGCAUGUGGCUUUUUUUUCUUUUCUUUUUCUUUCUUUCUUUUUUUUUUUUUUUUUCUUUUUUCUGGGGGUGGAGGUGUUGCAUUUUAAUGCCUGAUUUUGGCACUUGGUGCAGAAAAAUAAUGGAGAUGCCAAUGGCCAAAUUUUCCUCCAUCCAAUCUCAGGGAGAAGAGAAAAAAAAAAAAAAACAACCUCGUUUAUGUUUAAAUUUCUUGCAGCUGAGUUAUAUACACAGUACAUGAGGGCAACUGUUCAAAAUGUACACAUUUAUAGCUCCACUGUAUUUUUUUUUUUUUUUUACCCUUUGCAACAGAGAGCUGAGACAUAAAUACCACCCCCGUCCGACUGCACGCAAGGUAUGCAUGUAUGUGACGAAAAUAAAUCCUCCGGGAUUUCUAACUGCCAGGCUUUUGUGCUCGACACAUGUCAGUGCAGAUUACCAACAGGUGCGGCUCGGGGGAAGGACAGGGCAAAAGACAGGCAGGAUGACUGGGGGGAAGCCGGUGGCCAGCCACACGGCGGAGGGGGCGGGGCACGCCGCCUCGCUCUCCCACAACCUGGCUGGCCCCCCUCCUAGACCAAGUAGGAGGCAUGAUCACGGGUGCCGUGGCCAAAACGUAAGGUUCCGGGCAAUGCUACAGCUCCGACACUGGCCUGUGUGGGAGAGGAGAGACGACAUAAAUGUCAGCCCGAUUUGGGGAGCUGGAGUCGCCGCUCCGGGGAAAAGCCUUUUCUACCCUCCACUGUCCAGUGGGUAAGAAGCCAGCUGCUCUGGUGUCGCCGUGGAAUCCAGGGCAACCCGUGUUGGGGUGCCCUAGAAGUGCAGCUUGUGGCUGGGCCUCCCCACCCCCGUGAGACACAGCGGGCAGGGACUGUCCCGCCAUUUCACAGGAAAAACAAAUCCAUGUAUUUUUUUGGUGAUGCUGGGAUGUGAGAACGCAUUUCUGCUCCAGCAAAGGGUUUUUUAAAAAUGAAGCCGUAACGUGCCAGCUCCCAAAAGUAAGGGCUGGAUGUCAUUUAUCCUGUCUCCCCCCCCCAUCCCCCGCUCCCUGCACCACCACCACCACCACCCCCCCCCGCCCCUGCUUCUGGUUUAGAGCUGGGAGCCUAAGGGAUAUAUUUGUUGUGCUGACCGGACAUUUGACUCCUGUGUAAGAUGGGCUACUAUUGAAUAAAUAAAUCAAUAAACAAA